CUUUCUUUAAAUUUGUUUGUCUUUUAUUUGCUUUGAAUUUCCCUUAUUUCAUUUCUGUGUUUCCUUUGCACAGCUUUUCAGAAUUACUUUUCCAACUCUUCCAAUAAUUUCCCCCCUUUUCCCACACUUCCCUAUUUCUCUUCUUUUCCCUUGCUUUCCCAUCAUUUACCAUCUUUUUUCUCCACCUCGUCCCAUGCUCUCCCAGUUUUUCUGACACUUUGCAUGCCAGCAUCGCUUCCCCCGUCGCGUCACCACCCACCCCAUCCCUGCCCCACAGCUGCUCUGCACCAUACAGGCUCGUCUCGUCCUCUCCUUGAUCCCCUGAGACGAGCACUGAGUCAGCCUCGGGAGCGCAUUGAAGGCAACUCAGCUGUGUGAGCAGAAGGGCUGCAGCCUGGCUGCGCCUCUCCUGGGCCCCACUGAAGGACCGACUGCCUCUGGGGAAGGAUGUCCCAUGUCACAGGGAAACGGGCAGAGAUGGCUGUGCUCUGUGUCAUGUGUUCGUGUGUACGUGUUUUCUGCGUUGAAAUGAGCUGAGAUUGCAACGAUGGUGGAAUACAGAGGGAAGGUUGGGCCCUGGAGGGAGGCAGAGAGAGGAAGGAAUUUCUCGGUUUAAGUGGUUAUCGAGUUUCUCAACAGAAAGCACAAAUAACUCAGCAGCAAGUGACAUUUUGGGAUAUGAGAUUGCAGCUGGACUUCAAGCCUUCAGGACUGUCAGGAAAGAAGCCACCUGCCAAAGCCCUGAGCCACAGCCUGCCAAGGAACUCCGUGCGUUCCCAGAAUGACAGUCAUGCUGACCGUGGAUACGCAGCUACGGAGUGAUGCAUUCUCCUGCAGAAGCUGGCAGCCCGAGACUUGGA
This is a long non-coding RNA of Centrocercus urophasianus (Greater sage-grouse), 860 nucleotides long. RefSeq lists it as uncharacterized. The transcript has 3 exons. Lineage: Eukaryota; Metazoa; Chordata; Aves; Galliformes; Phasianidae. The record is from RefSeq and is a predicted model, not a curated record.